Molecule: ribosomal RNA, 468 nt
Filed under: uncultured bacterium
Lineage: Bacteria
Description: partial 16S ribosomal RNA
Rfam family: Bacterial small subunit ribosomal RNA
Source: RNAcentral
GACGAACGCUGGCGGCGUGCUUAACACAUGCAAGUCGAACGGAAAGGCCCUGCUUUUGUGGGGUGCUCGAGUGGCGAACGGGUGAGUAACACGUGAGUAACCUGCCCUUGACUUUGGGAUAACUUCAGGAAACUGGGGCUAAUACCGGAUAGGAGCUCCUGCUGCAUGGUGGGGGUUGGAAAGUUUCGGCGGGUGGGGAUGGACUCGCGGCUUAUCAGCUUGUUGGUGGGGGAGUGGCUUACCAAGGCUUUGACGGGUAGCCGGCCUGAGAGGGUGACCGGCCACAUUGGGACUGAGAGACGGCGCAGACUCCUACGGGAGGCAGCAGUGGGGAAUAUUGCACAAUGGGCGGAAGCCUGAUGAAGCAACGCCGCGUGCGGGAUGACGGCCUGCGGGUUGUAAACCGCUUUCGCCUGUGACGAAGCGUGAGUGACGGUAAUGGGUAAAGAAGCACCGGCUAACUACGUG